This is a non-coding RNA of Triticum aestivum (bread wheat), 123 nucleotides long. NCBI's taxonomy places the organism in Eukaryota, Viridiplantae, Streptophyta, Magnoliopsida, Poales, Poaceae. The record is from Rfam.
GUUCUACUCCCUCCGUCCGAAAAUACUUGUCCUAAAAAGGAUAAGAUGGACGUAUCUAUAACUAAAAUAAGUCUAGAUAUGACCAUCUCGAGGACAAGUAUUUUCGAACGGAGGGAGUAUCAU